UUGAUCGAAUUAAGUGCCAGCUAAUGUUCUGCGCUCGUACUCGCAGCGCCCGCGGGACCGGGACCCGGGACUGCAAUUGACCGCCACACACCGGAUAUGCAAGCGGCGCAACGUUCGCCGAGAAAAAAAGUGUAACACCUCCGCCCAGGAAGCUGCAGCAAUAAGUGCUAAUCAGUAACCCAGACCCCGCCGCCUCGCAGGCACAGGCACAGGCCCCGGAUGUAGGGCAAUAAUUGCCAAUUUCAAUUUCUGUCCAAUUGGAAAAUCUCGAAAAUUGUGUGUGUGUUUUGUUUGUGCCCCAGUCAUGUCAUGCCCAGACGACUCGUAAAAUACUCACACUCGUAUACUCGUAUCUGGCCAAACUCCGACACUGGCUCCGAAUCACGCUCCAACUUCAAGUAACUCUUGACUGCGCGUCACGCACCGCGAACAGGGAUCGGAGCGGAGCCUCCCUUUCUGCCACUCUUUCCUGACUGACUUUCCGCCUCUCUCUCCCGUUUCACAAUGCACAGGCUGGUGCUUCUUCGACUGCUGCUCUGGUGGCCAGCGCUGCGUUGGCUGCCCUCAAGCCGCACUUUUGGCAACCCCCCCUGCGUCUGCUGAUAAAAGGGGGAUCCCUUACAGAGAUAGAGAAAGAGAGCGAGCAAAGAAUCGAAAAAAGGGGGAAACCUUCCAACAACAACAAAAGAAAAAGAGACAGUCUUAAAGGUGCGUUGCACUCCCGCUCGCUGGCUCGCUCGUUGCUUUUUGUCAUUGAUUCCGCGGAUAGCAUGCGGCAGGGGCAGCAAACGGCAACAGCUGCUGCGACAAUACUACAGACGAGCCACAAUAGUUGCAGCGAUUAUUUCGAGCAUCCGCCUUCCUCUGCUGCUCUGCCACCGCCCCUUGCCACCGCUGUAGUUGUAGUUGUAGUUGUUGCUGCUGUCUUCCGUAACGUGGCCAGAACGUUGCCGGGCAAUUAUUAUUUUGUAAGACGUUUUACAAUUUAAUGGUUUUCAUGAAUGGACUUGGAUCCGACCCUCUGUCAGCAAAGGAGGCAGAGGGCCCUCCGGUUCAGGUUGAACCAGUUGAUUUGAGCCUACGUUCGCCGCG
Drosophila miranda is the source of this 1092-nucleotide long non-coding RNA. RefSeq lists it as uncharacterized. The transcript is spliced from 3 exons. The record is from RefSeq and is a predicted model, not a curated record. NCBI's taxonomy places the organism in Eukaryota, Metazoa, Arthropoda, Insecta, Diptera, Drosophilidae.